CUUCAGCUCAUGCUGCUCUUUUGUGGACCUUGUACACUGAACAUCGAUGUAAAAUAAAGACAGAGGCGUUGCAAUAUUGCUUUUUUUAUGAUUGGUGAUGCCUUGGAAGUGUCUUUCCUUCUUCUCUUAGCCGCCUUGAUCUCUAAUGAAGUGUCUGGAUAUGAAAUCCUCUUUGAUGGAAUGACACCCCUCUUAGAUGUUAUUUCC
RNAcentral lists this long non-coding RNA (207 nucleotides) under Capsicum annuum. Its description in RNAcentral is "long non-coding RNA (CANN_LNC014181)". Lineage: Eukaryota; Viridiplantae; Streptophyta; Magnoliopsida; Solanales; Solanaceae. The record is from RNAcentral.